UACGUAGGUGGCAAGUGUUAUCCGGAAUUAUUGGGCGUAAAGCGCGCGCAGGUGGUUUCUUAAGUCUGAUGUGAAAGCCCACGGCUCAACCGUGGAGGGUCAUUGGAAACUGGGAGACUUGAGUGCAGAAGAGGAAAGUGGAAUUCCAUGUGUAGCGGUGAAAUGCGUAGAGAUAUGGAGGAACACCAGUGGCGAAGGCGACUUUCUGGUCUGUAACUGACACUGAGGCGCGAAAGCGUGGGGAGCAAACAGG
Molecule: ribosomal RNA, 253 nt
Filed under: uncultured bacterium
Lineage: Bacteria
Description: partial 16S ribosomal RNA
Rfam family: Bacterial small subunit ribosomal RNA
Source: RNAcentral